CUCCUGUGUAGAGGCAGUUAUCAGAGACGACAACGGGGGAGCGGUUUUUUAACCUACUACAUACAGUUUUCAUAUCUUCCUAGCCCUAUAUACAACCCCCACGUCUACCCUCAUCUCAAGCCCUUCUGCAGAUGUUUCUAAUUUCCUUUCAUUUUCACAUGGAGACACUUUCUAAUUAUGCCCUAAUCGCCGAUCAACAACAACACACUCCGUACGCCAUUGCAUCUUCCACCCCUCACCAAAAUGGUUGAAUAAUAAUUUUGAAAGGCUGAAGUGAAGAACCCUCUGGUAGGCAUUUUUUAUUGCAAUAAUUCUCCAAAAUUACUGCCUCAGAAGCUUCAAAUCGAUGUCAUCGUCUGAUGAGUUUGUUCAUUUUAAUCCCUUGGUUAAAGGAGUUGUGCAGAGUAGGGCUUUAAGAUACAAUGGUCGAAUUAUUCGACCCUAGAAAGAUGGUCACGGAUUAUGACUGUUCUGCUGAAGAGGAUUACUGCGACCACUGCGACUUUGCUUUCACUUUUGCCUUCAACGAUCCCAAUUUCUCCGAUCGUGUUCUUGGCAUCCAUAUUUUAACUGCGCCGAUCGAGUCUACACCAGAAAUAUAGAAAAAGAAACUCAAAAUUUAAAGGAUAUGACAGCUCGAAUUAUCUCCAAAAAAAUGGCACUGAUUCUAACCGAAAGUUUUGGUAGCCAUAUGCAAGAAGCAAGACCUUAGAUUUCGUCCACAAGCUCUUUUCAAACGGGAUGAGUGAGUCAACACAACGCUUUGUAACCUUGCAAAUCAAUGCUUCAGAGGAAGGUGCCUUCAUGGAACUACUCAACUUUAUGUAUAGCAGUAAAUAGACAGUUACAACUUCUCCAGAUGUGCUUGAUGUGCUAAAAGUUGCUGACAAAUUUAUGCUGACAAUGUUCUGAUCAAAACAACAGAUGUUGGUUCAGCAGGGAGCGAGCACUAUUUGAGCACUAUAAAAUUCAUUGAUGCUGUAGCAAACUAGCUGAAGUCAAGGCUUGUGGGGAAAUCAUCACUGCAUUUGUAUCUUUCAGGGCUGUGCUAUUGGUCUACUAAUUGCUUUGCUGCGACUUCUUGGUGGAAACAAUGGGAUUUUACAAGGGAUGGUCUCCAUGAGAAGAGU
This 1130-nucleotide long non-coding RNA is filed under the name Helianthus annuus (common sunflower). Lineage: Eukaryota; Viridiplantae; Streptophyta; Magnoliopsida; Asterales; Asteraceae. The record is from RNAcentral.